AAUUGCGGUCAUAUCCACGGAAAAGCACCGAAACUCAUUAGAUCUUCGAAGUUAAACCUGUGUGAGCUCAUUAAGUGCUAUGGUAGGCGAUCACAUGGGAAUAGUGUGAGUUGGUGAAUGUC
Molecule: ribosomal RNA, 122 nt
Organism: Anncaliia algerae PRA339
Lineage: Eukaryota; Fungi; Microsporidia; Tubulinosematidae
Source: Rfam